CAAGUGUGUAUGCGUCCUCUGUGUUCGUUAUCUCUGGCUAGUCCCUUCUGAAAGGAAUGAUAGGAAGUGAAAGAAUGGGACAAAAACCUUUGUUGAGCUGUUUAGAAUAGACCCUGAUCUUGAGCCUAUUCCCCAUACACAGAAAGGAGUUACAGAGCACAUCUGUUUUCAUGACAUAUCUGAUGGUAUUUUGAGCACUCAGGUCCUGCACUUCCCCCUGACAUUGCAUCACCACUUUCUGUUAAUACAAUUACUUUCAAGGCAUGCUCAGUUCCCACUAGCUUUAGUUUUGAAGUUAAACAAAAUUAGUCCUUCCAGGUCAAUCGUGGAAUACACAGUGGAGCAUUUAAAAGCAGAAGAUGAAGGUGGAAAAAAAUGAGACAAUAAAUAGAUUUCCCCAUUUUUAAUUCUAUUCAUCUCCAUUACAUUGGGGUAGGUAGAAACAAAGAAGGCUGCAUCACAGAAAAGAGUUGAGGCAAAAGAGUUUGCCAUGUUGUGCUGAAGAGAGAGUAACAUCACCUCUUGGCUAAUUGCAUGGGAGAUACCUGUGCACAAGUCCCUGGUCCUACCUCACCCAGUUGCUAUACCUGCUGGUUUAUGGGUGUUUUUUUGCUGACUAACUGAACUUUUAACUAGCUCUACAAAAUGGAUUGGUGCUAGCAGAAUAUACUUAGACCAUCACCCAGUAACUGGGAAACUAGCCUGCAAAUUAGGUUCAAAUCCUUACCCUCCUUCAUUCCCUCUCAGGCUCCAUGACUGUUACUUCACAACUCAUUGCACUUUGCUGGCUACAGGGCUCCCACAGGCAACUCCCCUAAUCAUGGAAGAAUCCUUUUUUUUCUAUAUACAGAAAGACCACCCUGUUUGGGAAACUUUCCCCUCAAAAUCAAUCCAUUUACAAGGAGCCAGAACUGCAGAGGCAGAGGGGGAUGCCUGUGGCACACAGCCGUUCCCGUUUCCUCUCAUUGGCACAAGGCUGCAGAAUGACGACACGGAGUUACUCGAAGGAGACAGUGUGGAAGCAGAUGUGGAUGCAUGUGACAGAGCUGGAGGCAUCUCACUUUUUCCUGACUCCAGUCAAGAGGUGAAAUGCCAGAAAUACCCAGAGACGCCCUACCUAGCCAGACAGCUCCCCCGCGGGCCAUGCAGCCCGACGGGUGGUUUUCCAAACCACCCCUGAACUCUGAACCUUCAAAUCAUUUACAGAUCUCUCACAAGUGGAGAUGAAACCACAUCUCUGCAUGACUUUUGCAAGCAGCAGUGAGAGCCUGGAUCAGCAGAGUUCCUCUACGCAGCCCGGCUGUUUUGCAAAUGCAGCUCUGAAGUGGCUCUGAAGGCUGCUGUGGUCUCAGUAAUGGGCACCCAUUCGCUCUGCAAUUACCCAAAGAAAACCUUCACCUCGUCUGCUCAGGGUAGAGCCUGAAUGAAGCUUAACUAGCCAAAGACAACUGGGAAACCCUAAAUUUCCUAUUACGAGCAUUGUCUCGUCUGACAGUAUUUUUGUAACAGACUAACGCCGCCUGUCCCUGGUGAUAAGCUGGGUUUUAUUAUGAAAUAUAACAGUUGUAUUGUACGUGACUGCUCCGUGCAAGGCAAUUUACAGACCUGCUCUGGUGACUGCUGUGCCCUUUACAAUGGAACUUGUAUCGCGUCAAAAUUUUCAUGAUUCUAAGAGAGGGGAGAAAAUUCCUGUUAGGUAACUGUUAUUGAAGUGUGUACAAGAUUGGAUGUCAAAACAUUUUCAUUGUUAGCUGGUGGGAAUUACAUUGACUGACAGCAGCAGUUUAACAACUGAGAUUCAGUGUAGUUUAUUAUUUUAUUUUUUUUCCGUGUAUUUUAGGAGACUAUAAAUUUGGAGCGAUAAAGCCUGUCUUUAGAAACACACACUCUCUGCCUUGCGCUUUCACUAUCGUUCUCAGAUUGGUAAAAGACGAAUGAGUGAUAAAAGAGAUUAAAAACCAAUGCUUUAAUUUCGUCUUGCUGCAUGGUGUCAAGGUAUCCUGUCCUCUUAAUAAAAUAAGCAGCGGGACUACGGGACACAGAGUUAAAAUGAAAAUGAGCAAAAGUUUGGAGUGGGUGGGUUAUAACUUCGGGCCCAGUUCUGGCUCUCUGAUUCCCGGCUAACCCAUCCCCGCUCCCCGCCGGCCGCUGCCGUUCCCCCGCUGGCCGCGAGGUGGCGGCCGAGGCGGUGCCAUCGCCGCAGCCGGGACAGACCCGAGUGCUGCUGCCCCGAGUCGGUCUGGUAACAACAAUUAAC
Long non-coding RNA from Pseudopipra pipra, 2257 nucleotides. RefSeq lists it as uncharacterized. The transcript is spliced from 3 exons. NCBI's taxonomy places the organism in Eukaryota, Metazoa, Chordata, Aves, Passeriformes, Pipridae. The record is from RefSeq and is a predicted model, not a curated record.